UCAAGUACGCCCUGCUGAUCUGUGUGCA
Molecule: small RNA, 28 nt
Filed under: Bombyx mori (domestic silkworm)
Lineage: Eukaryota; Metazoa; Arthropoda; Insecta; Lepidoptera; Bombycidae
Description: piRNA piR-bmo-2110843
Source: RNAcentral